Molecule: ribosomal RNA, 618 nt
Filed under: uncultured fungus
Lineage: Eukaryota; Fungi
Description: eukaryotic LSU rRNA
Rfam family: 5.8S ribosomal RNA (bases 187-340)
Source: RNAcentral
UCCGUAGGUGAACCUGCGGAAGGAUCAUUACUGAGUUCGUGCCCUAACGGGUAGAUCUCCACCCUUGAAUAUAAACUCUUGUUGCUUUGGCGGGCCGCUUAGGCUACUGGCUUCGGCUGGUGAGUGCCCGCCAGAGAACCCUAAACUUUGAAUUACAGUAUUGUCUGAGUACUAUAUAAUAGUUAAAACUUUCAACAACGGAUCUCUUGGUUCUGGCAUCGAUGAAGAACGCAGCGAAAUGCGAUAAGUAAUGUGAAUUGCAGAAUUCAGUGAAUCAUCGAAUCUUUGAACGCACAUUGCGCCCUAUGGUAUUCCGUAGGGCAUGCCUGUCUGAGCGUCAGCUCGUCUUCUCAAGCUCUUUUGCUUGGAUAACCUUAAGGAAGCAUGUUCGCUGCAACUUGCUCCUUAGAAAUUCAUAGGCGGUACGGUUCUAGCAAACCAGACGUAAUAAUACUCUUAUAUGUCGUCCUUUGUAUAGUGCUGUUGCUUGCCUCUUUAAUCCACAUCUUUAUUCAAGAUGACCUCAGAUCAGGUAGGGGAUACCCGGCUGGAACUUAAGGCAUAUCAAUAAGGCGGGAGGGAAGUCGACUGGCCAAGGGGGCACACAGGGGGGGGAUA